RNAcentral lists this long non-coding RNA (5876 nucleotides) under Vitis vinifera (wine grape). RNAcentral's name for it is "long non-coding RNA (VVIN_LNC005685)". The record is from RNAcentral. Lineage: Eukaryota; Viridiplantae; Streptophyta; Magnoliopsida; Vitales; Vitaceae.
UUCAAUGAUCAGAACAAGAAAUGAUGAUUUAAUUAGCAACCGAAGAAACUUAAGCCGUGUGAUGAAAUUUCUCACAUUAUAUUUACAAAUUUCCCCUUGUCACUUACUUUUAGGCUUUGGCAUAAAAAAAAUAUAAAAAAGAACAAACAAUAAAAGAACAUAUGUUUUAGGUUCACAAGAAACAAAAAUUAGUAGUAGAACAAGGAACUGAGCAUAUACAAUUUAAUAAGGAAACAACACUCAAUAAGCCAGAAUGAUGAAAUAGGACUUUGUUUAGCCAUCCCCAGCUGCAUAUACGCAUAUACAUGCAUAUACAUCAAGAUAGAUACAUAUGUGUUUCCAAGUGUAGUGUUACACACAAUAAAAUAAUGGAAAUCUGUAUUAUAAUAAAAAUGUGAUAGGUAAAGUACUUAAGUACAAUCAUCUAUAUUAAGUAUAUUCAAGGCAAUUAAAAUGAGAGUGGAUCAUCUAUUUCAUUUGGUGAAAUUUAAGCGAAAUUGCUUCUACCAUGAUUCAUUAUGUUAAGGAAGAUAGCUCAAUUAUAUGGUAGCUGAAAAGGCACUUGUAGAUAUGGUCAAAUAAAUCUAGAUCUCAUUUAGUUGGAAAAUGGGCUUUAGUAGAACGUCUUGUUGGGCUUUGUGGAGCCUAGUUUUGUUUGAUCCGGUUUGACGACCCGACCCGAAUAAUAUUGCAUGACUUUUUUAAUGGGAGAUUUAUUGAGGCCUGUUGGGCUCGUUUAGCCCAUUGUGGAACCACCCUUUGUAAUUAGGGUUUUUUAGUAUGGUAGUGUUGCCGUGCUAUAUAUAUAUAGAGAAUAUUGUAGCCGCCAGGUUGUACCCUGUAUUCUUCCCUGAUAAUAGUGAUAUCCCUGCAACUCCGUGGACGUAGGCAAAUUGCCGAACCACGUAAAUACUGUCUUGGGUGUGUGAUUGUUUUUCUUUGGCGUGUGUUUUCUCUAAUUUUUUUUUUGUUUCUCAUGGGUUGGGAAUUCGGUUUAAUUCCCUACAACUGGUAUCAGAGCCUAGGGUUAGGUUUGAGUGGGAGCAAUGGCAGAGGAAGCAGGAAAGGCGUCUGGAAUAGAAAAGUUUGAUGGCACAGACUUUGCGUAUUGGAGGAUGCAGAUUGAAGAUUAUCUCUAUGGGAGGAAAUUACAUCUGCCUCUUUUGGGGACAAAACCUGAGAGUAUGAAGGCUGAGGAAUGGGCGCUUCUUGACAGACAGGUUCUAGGAGUUAUUAGGUUAACUCUGUCUAGGUCUGUUGCACAUAAUGUUGUAAAGGAGAAGACCACAACAGAUCUGAUGAAGGCUUUGUCCGGUAUGUAUGAAAAGCCGUCCGGAAACAAUAAGGUGCAUCUGAUGAAAAAAUUGUUCAAUUUGAAGAUGGCAGAGAAUGCAUCAGUAGCACAACAUCUGAAUGAAUUUAAUACAAUCACAAAUCAAUUGUCGUCUGUAGAAAUUGAUUUUGAUGAUGAGAUUCGUGCUCUGAUCGUCUUGGCUUCUUUGCCAAAUAGUUGGGAGGCAAUGAGGAUGGCAGUAAGCAAUUCUACGGGAAAGGAAAAGCUCAAGUACAAUGAUAUAUGAGAUUUAAUUCUGGCUGAGGAGAUUCGCCGAAGAGAUGCAGGUGAAACCUCAGGAUCUGGUUCUGCCCUAAACCUUGAGACAAGAGGCAGAGGUAAUAACAGAAAUUCAAAUCAGGGUAGAUCAAAUUCCAGAAAUUCUAAUCGGAACAGAAGCAAAUCUAGAUCAGGCCAACAAGUACAAUGCUGGAAUUGUGGGAAAACAGGUCACUUUAAAAGGCAAUGCAAAAGCCCUAAGAAGAAGAAUGAAGAUGAUUCUGCUAAUGCUGUAACAGAAGAGGUACAGGAUGCAUUACUUCUUGCAGUAGACAGUCCACUUGAUGAUUGGGUUUUGGAUUCAGGAGCUUCGUUUCAUACCACUCCACACCGAGAAAUCAUACAGAAUUAUGUUGCAGGUGAUUUUGGUAAGAUGUAUUUGGCUGAUGGUUCAGCCUUGGAUGUUGUGGGUCUGGGAGAUGUUCGGAUAUCGUUGCCCAAUGGGUCUGUUUGGUUACUGGAGAAGGUUCGACAUAUUCUUGACCUGAGGAGGAAUCUGAUUUCUGUUGGACAACUUGAUGAUGAAGGACAUGCAAUACUAUUUGUUGGUGGUACUUGGAAGGUUACAAAGGGAGCUAGGGUAUUGGCUCGUGGAAAGAAGACUGGCACUCUGUAUAUGACCUCAUGUCCAAGAGACACAAUUGCAGUUGCUGAUGCAAGUACUGAUACAAGCUUAUGGCACCGCAGACUUGGUCACAUGAGUGAGAAAGGGAUGAAGAUGUUGUUGUCAAAAGGAAAACUACCAGAAUUGAAGUCCAUUGAUUUUGACAUGUGUGAAAGUUGCAUCUUAGGAAAGCAAAAAAAGGUGAGCUUCUUGAAAACUGGCAGGACACCGAAGGCUGAAAAAUUGGAACUAGUACACACUGAUUUGUGGGGGCCUUCUCCGGUUGCAUCCCUAGGAGGUUCAAGGUACUACAUCACCUUUAUUGAUGACUCAAGUAGAAAGGUAUGGGUUUAUUUUCUGAAAAAUAAAUCUGAUGUAUUUGUAACUUUUAAGAAGUGGAAGGCCAUGGUUGAGACAGAAACAGGUUUGAAAGUAAAAUGUUUGAGGUCAGAUAAUGGAGGAGAGUACAUAGAUGGAGGAUUCAGUAAGUAUUGUGCUGCACAGGGAAUUAGGAUGGAGAAGACCAUUCCUGGGACACCACAGCAGAAUGGUGUGGCUGAGCGCAUGAACAGAACUCUCAAUGAGCGUGCUAGAAGUAUGAGGUUGCAUGCUGGACUACCAAAAACUUUUUGGGCUGAUGCUGUUAGCACUGCAGCUUACCUGAUAAACCGAGGACCAUCAGUUCCCAUGGAGUUCAGACUUCCUGAGGAGGUUUGGAGCAGUAAAGAGGUGAAGUUUUCACAUUUAAAAGUUUUUGGUUGUAUUUCUUAUGUUCAUAUUGAUUCUGAUGCUCGUAGUAAACUUGAUGCAAAGUCAAAAAUAUGUUUUUUCAUUGGCUAUGGUGAUGAGAAAUUUGGCUAUAGGUUUUGGGAUGAACAAAACAGGAAAAUCAUCAGAAAUAGAAAUGUAAUAUUUAAUGAACAGGUUAUGUACAAAGACAGGUCAUCUGUAGUGUCAGAUGUUACAGAGAUAGAUCAAAAGAAAUCUGAGUUUGUCAACUUAGAUGAAUUGACUGAAAGUACUGUCCAAAAAGGGGGUGAAGAAGAUAAGGAGAAUGUAAAUUCACAGGUAGAUCUGAGUACACCUGUAGUUGAAGUUCGCAGAUCUUCUAGGAACACUAGACCUCCGCAGCGUUAUUCACCUGUUUUAAAUUAUCUCCUGUUGACUGAUGGUGGUGAGCCAGAGUGUUAUGAUGAAGCCUUGCAAGAUGAGAAUUCAAGCAAGUGGGAGUUAGCCAUGAAGGAUGAGAUGGAUUCCCUGUUGGGGAAUCAGACAUGGGAACUGACUGAAUUGCCAGUAGGAAAGAAGGCUUUACACAACAAGUGGGUAUACAGAAUAAAGAAUGAGCAUGAUGGUAGCAAACGUUACAAGGCCAAAUUAGUUGUUAAAGGGUUCCAGCAGAAGGAGGGCAUCGACUACACAGAGAUAUUUUCUCCAGUUGUGAAGAUGUCAACAAUUAGACUUGUACUUGGAAUGGUGGCUGCAGAAAACUUACAUCUUGAGCAGUUAGAUGUGAAGACAGCAUUCCUUCAUGGUGACUUGGAGGAAGACCUUUACAUGAUUCAGCCAGAAGGGUUCAUUGUUCAAGGACAAGAGAAUCUAGUCUGCAAACUGAGAAAGAGCUUGUAUGGCCUUAAACAAGCUCCUAGACAGUGGUACAAGAAGUUUGACAAUUUUAUGCAUAGAAUUGGGUUCAAGAGAUGUGAAGCUGAUCAUUGUUGCUAUGUUAAGUCCUUUGACAACUCUUACAUCAUAUUACUGUUGUAUGUGGAUAAUAUGCUUAUUGUAGGGUCUGACAUUGAGAAGAUUAAUAAUCUGAAGAAGCAAUUGUCCAAACAGUUUGCAAUGAAGGAUUUGGGAGCUGCAAAGCAAAUCCUUGGUAUGAGAAUCAUUAGAGACAAAGCUAAUGGUACAUUGAAGCUUUCACAGUCAGAGUAUGUGAAGAAAGUUCUCAGCAGGUUCAACAUGAAUGAAGCUAAACCAGUGAGCACACCCUUGGGUAGUCAUUUCAAACUAAGCAAAGAACAGUCACCAAAGACAGAAGAAGAAAGGGACCAUAUGAGCAAGGUGCCCUAUGCCUCAGCUAUUGACAGCUUGAUGUAUGCUAUGGUGUGUACAAGGCCAGACAUUGCACAUGCAGUGGGAGUUGUGAGCAGAUUCAUGAGUAGGCCUGGAAAGCAGCAUUGGGAGGCAGUCAAGUGGAUUUUAAGAUAUCUGAAGGGUUCAUUAGAUACAUGUCUUUGCUUCACAGGUGCAAAUUUGAAACUGCAGGGUUAUGUAGAUGCUGAUUUUGCUGGUGAUAUUGAUAGUAGAAAGAGUACUACUGGGUUUGUUUUUACUCUAGGUGGUACAGCUAUAUCAUGGACUUCAAAUCUACAGAAGAUUGUUACUUUGUCUACUACAGAAGCUGAGUAUGUUGCAGCAACUGAAGCUGGAAAGGAGAUGAUUUGGCUACAUGGUUUCUUAGAUGAAUUAGGUAAGAAGCAAGAGAUGGGCAUUCUACACAGUGACAGUCAGAGUGCAAUUUUUCUUGCCAAAAAUUCGGCUUUUCAUUCAAAGUCGAAACAUAUACAAACAAAAUAUCACUUUAUCCGUUAUCUUGUUGAGGAUAAACUGGUAAUACUUGAGAAGAUUUGUGAAUCUAAAAACCCUGCAGACAUGUUGACUAAGGGUGUCACUAUUGAGAAGUUGAAGCUGUGCGCAGCUUCAAUUGGUCUUCUAGCUUGAGGACAGGAGGAUGAGUUGUAGGGAUGAGGGAUCGUUUCUUGGAGGAUAGCGGUUUGAUGUUGGUGAUUGGACUAGUCUCCAAGUGGGAGAUUUGUUGGGCUUUGUGGAGCCUAGUUUUGUUUGAUCCGGUUUGACGACCCGACCCGAAUAAUAUUGCAUGACUUUUUUAAUGGGAGAUUUAUUGAGGCCUGUUGGGCUCGUUUAGCCCAUUGUGGAACCACCCUUUGUAAUUAGGGUUUUUUAGUAUGGUAGUGUUGCCGUGCUAUAUAUAUAUAGAGAAUAUUGUAGCCGCCAGGUUGUACCCUGUAUUCUUCCCUGAUAAUAGUGAUAUCCCUGCAACUCCGUGGACGUAGGCAAAUUGCCGAACCACGUAAAUACUGUCUUGGGUGUGUGAUUGUUUUUCUUUGGCGUGUGUUUUCUCUAAUUUUUUUUUUGUUUCUCACGGGUUGGGAAUUCGGUUUAAUUCCCUACACGUCUUUGGCUUUGGUUUUUGAUGACUGGCAGGAUGGUUAGAAAGCUAGCAGGAUGAAUAUGAAGUGCAUCAAUUCUGCAUUACAAAUCCCACCACCCAUAUUGACCUUUAAAAAGUUUGACUUUGUGCCUCAAGAAGGCUGCAAAGAAUGAUUACAAACAACAAAUCUUGAAUUUCAUAAAAAAGCUUCCAGCUUUUAAUAGAUUCAUAUGUUCUGCUUGUUCUGUUUUCAUAUAUCGACCAUUUUACCCAGACUUUUAAGGACUUCAAAAAAUAAAAUUCAUAAAAUCUACGUGAUUGAUAUACAUUGAUGAGCAAUGUUCAUGCCUACUUUCAAGCCUUUUUAGGACAAACACCCUUAAUAUUAACUCUUGUAAAGAGAAAACAUAAGAUGGAAAGAUGGGGCAAGAAAAAAAGAUGAGAUUUCAUAAACAUUUUCUAUGCUCAGAAAUAGAUACCCA